UCCCCGGUAGCUCAGUGGUAGAGCGAUCGGCUGUUAACCGAUUGGUCGUAGGUUCGAGUCCUACCCGGGGAGCCA
This 75-nucleotide transfer RNA is filed under the name Chloroflexota bacterium. RNAcentral describes it as "Chloroflexi bacterium tRNA-Asn". It matches the Rfam family "tRNA". From Rfam's summary of the family: Transfer RNA (tRNA) molecules are approximately 80 nucleotides in length. Their secondary structure includes four short double-helical elements and three loops (D, anti-codon, and T loops). Lineage: Bacteria; Bacillati; Chloroflexota. The record is from RNAcentral. RNAcentral also lists the same sequence under 1 other name.